This 859-nucleotide long non-coding RNA is filed under the name Olea europaea (common olive). RNAcentral's name for it is "long non-coding RNA (OEUR_LNC007233)". Lineage: Eukaryota; Viridiplantae; Streptophyta; Magnoliopsida; Lamiales; Oleaceae. The record is from RNAcentral.
UGGGAAUGAAGCAGCAGACACACAAGAUGAUCUUGCUGAAGCGAAUUCGGUAUCAACCUCAUUGUUUCCAAAUGAAAAUCUUCGAGGUAAGUUUAUAUGUUUCCUUCCUUCAUCUACCAAGUUCCAAUGGGGACUUUCACCACCGAACUCCAUGAAAAUGUUGCAAUAUUUGUAAAUGGUAAUGAAAAUAUAACUUGGUUGCUUUAUUGAGGAAAAUCACUUUGACAUGACGUCGAGGCAUUUAAUCAGGAGUUUAUAUGCUGAUUUUUAGUAGGUAGGAAACCUUUAAGAUAAGUCAUGAUACAGCUACCUUUUACAAUUCACAGUGUGCAAUGUAGAGAAAUGGGAUGUGUCAUGUGUGUACUGACUUUUAUAUCAGUAUCUUAUGCCAGUAAUAUUCUUAUGACAUGGGCAGAGUGCAUUAGGCACUGUAAGAAUUGGAAUAGCCAACCCAAGUGGUCCUGAAAACUUAAUUGCUAUAACUUUUAUAGUUAAUCACAUUUCCUGUUUGUUGUUUCUUGAUUUAUUGGCAUUAACAGAAGGUUGGUGAUAGCAAUUACUGCAUUGCAUGCUGGCGAAGAGCUGUAAGUACCAUUCUGAAUAAUGUUUUGACCUACCAUAGUUGGGCACAUAAGUAUUACAUGCUUUGUUGUUCUAAGUUAGUCAGAUCGUUUUGAGUUUAAAUGUGAAUUGUUCUAUUUGAAUUGGAAGGAUUUUUGUACCACGAGAAUAUGCGGUUUACUGCUGAAUCACUGAUAAUGGGGGAGUUGGAAGAUGCUAAUUUGAGACCGUUACUUCGAAGUUGUUGAAUUUCGAAAUUUGAUGGAAGCAGGUCUAGAAUAGUUUGUACUUGGAGUCG